CUCUCGCUUUCUUCAUCAGUCUGGAGCACUGAAAGUUUCUUCCAAUUCUGAGUUUCUGUGCGCUGGAGUAAUCUAAAACAAAUACUUUUUUAAAUGUGAUUUUUUUGGGUCUCUGAAUUGCUAAAGUAAAAUAUCUUCCUUGUAGAAAGUUUGUACCAUACCGAGAAUCAGAAAGGAAAUAAAUUCAUCAUAAUUUUACCACUUAGGAGUAAUCACUGUUUAACAUUCUACUUUGAUAAUUAGCCUAUUAUUACGCAUAUAUUCCUUUUAAGAUUUUUUUUUUUUUAAUUUAUUUGAGAGAGAGAGAGAGAAAGAGAACGGGCAGGGAGAGUGGCAGAGGGAGAGGCAGAAGCAGGGAGCCUGAUGAAGAACUUGAUCCCAGGACCCUGGGACCAUGACCUGAGCUGAAGGUGGACGCUUCACCAAUGGAGCCACCCAGGCGCCCUGCAUAUAUUCCUUUGAUGAGGUCAAGAACAACUACUUUUUUGUUGGUCCACGAAUUCCCAUAGAACUAGAGCUGGUACGUGAAGUGCCCCGAACCGGGCUAAGAGCAGACAAAGGGAGCAGUCGCAAUGCUGAGGAUGAAAAAAAUCAGACUCACCCAAAGCCAGACGGAGAUGCUGAGGCUGGAGGGAGGCCGCUCGCCACAAACCGGCACCUCCAGCCCUGCCAAUACCAGGGGCCCUUGAUUUAUAGCAGCCAAGCCUGAAGCUCGUGCCAACGUUUCUCACGUAGAAAUGUCAGAAGAAAUCCCAGUGCCAUCGAACAAGACCUUUAUUCCUCCACCUGCACAUUAUGACUCUAAUAAACACGUUAUCAGCCCAUGAAAAUGAUGGCAAACAGGUGACUGAAGGAUUUGUUAAGUCAGCAGCAAAGAUUAACAGUUCUUUUCAGAGAAAGCUGUGAGAGGUUCCCCCGUUUAAAACAAUUGUGGCAUGCGAAUUUUCAGCACUUAAAUCAUUAUCGGCAAUUAGUCCUUGUCAAAAAGGUUGCAGCUGGCUUCAAUUACAGGGGGAGAAGGCAGCACAUUACAAGGGACUGAACUGCAGUGGAGGACUAGGCGGAGAGUUGGUAGAGCAGCAUGAAUGUUUGCAGAGAUGAAGCACCACCAUGCUUCUCCAGUCACAGUUGCCUAUGGGUCAUCCAUUUCGUUGCCGCUAAAGAAGCCAACAGCCUGAUGGGCCUUCCCGGGUGCCCCUCCAUGCAUUCCCAGGGGCGUCACUCACUAGACGUUCUUAGAUGAAUAAGUAGAGGUUUCGAGAAGUGCAGACCGGAGCCCAGGCCUCCACAGAGACGAACUGGUGGUGCUGGGAUUCGAGUCAGGUCUGAGCCCGGCCAAGUCCACAGUCUUUCCCCAGCGCCAUGCUCCUCCAGCCCCCGAGUGCCUGCCUUACCUGACACCCCACCCUGCAGCCAGAGGGCUCAGCACCUCCCUGCCAUGGUUUUGAUGAGAUAACUGUAGCUUAAAAAGAGUGAACAGAUAAAAGUCCAACAGUGAACUACAUUAUUUUAUAUUAUAUGGCGAACUCUCUUACUUUUGAUAUUUGAUAACUCCAGCCUCCAUUGUAUCCUGAUGCUCAGUGAAUCCCAACAUUGGUCUUACUGCACCACCACCCCGCUCACCUGCUGGCUGAACUCUCUGGGUAAUGGUCAAGGCCCUCUGGCUCCACGUGCCAUAGAAACUUCCCAACACGCAUUCACUCAUCCGACAUCCAUUUACGGAGCAUCCGCUCUGAUGCAAGGCCCUUGUCCACGUGCGGGACUUUCUGGUUUGUUUAGAGGCCAUUGCUAUUUUGGUGAGCAAUAAAAUAAAGACCUACACAACUUAUAAAUUAUCAUCCGUUUAUUCUAGAUGAAAUUUUCUUCCCAUAACUUCAGCAAAAUAAUUAUACUGUUAUACUUAAGAUUCCCACAAAAUUUGUGUCCUAUUAACAGCGAAUAUCUAAAUGCUUAAAAUACGAAGUGCAACUGUUUUCAAAGUAUAUAAAAUUUGAAUGCAUUUUCAUUAAGGUCUAAGUUUUAAAUAUGCUUAAAAUUCAAAAUAUUAAAGUUAUUUUUCACAUGUUUUCAAAGAGU
Molecule: long non-coding RNA, 2076 nt
Organism: Zalophus californianus (California sea lion)
Lineage: Eukaryota; Metazoa; Chordata; Mammalia; Carnivora; Otariidae
Exons: 5
Source: RefSeq, a predicted model, not a curated record